Molecule: transfer RNA, 76 nt
Filed under: Candidatus Omnitrophota bacterium
Lineage: Bacteria; Pseudomonadati; Candidatus Omnitrophota
Description: Candidatus Omnitrophica bacterium tRNA-Arg
Rfam family: tRNA
About the family: Transfer RNA (tRNA) molecules are approximately 80 nucleotides in length.
Source: RNAcentral
GCGCCUAUAGCUCAGAUGGAUAGAGCACCAGCCUCCGGAGCUGGGUGGGCAGGUUCGAGUCCUGCUAGGCGCGCCA